Molecule: long non-coding RNA, 628 nt
Organism: Stylophora pistillata
Lineage: Eukaryota; Metazoa; Cnidaria; Anthozoa; Scleractinia; Pocilloporidae
Source: RefSeq, a predicted model, not a curated record
CCUACCGGCUUGCGCGUUACUUCAGGGACAUGCAUACUCGAGUAACAGUAGAGUUAUUCAAAUGAAGAAAAGAACUUAAAACUUUGCAUUACAAGAAGAAAUCGAACGGGCGUCUUUACAAGCAUCCAUCGCAACCAUCAAUUGCCUUUUCUCUAGCACUUCGAAACAUCCUAGGCUUUAGAAGUAUUAGCAUUUAGCCAAUCGGCGGCCAUUUACUGUCUGUUGUAUCAAGCCAGCGAUCACAGCGGCGCCAAGAAAUCCAAAUAGUCUUCAAAGCUGCUGUCCACAUCUCACAAUGGAAGUCGUGUUUAUUAAUUGAAGCCAGCAUGGUGCACCGUUAUUAAAUACUUCAGGGACACAAAAGUAUCCAUCUCAACCAUAAAUCAAAUGUUGUGGUUUAUUGCAUUUAUUGCUUUGAACUUUCUCGUUCAAUGCACCGGAAUAAAUCCUCCACGGACAGAUACGAGAAAACGUCUGACUACGGAAGCGGAGAAAAAAAUUCCAAACAUUGUGUCUAGGCAAACCAUGUCCGAGCUACAAACAUUAAAGACAACGAGUAAAAGUUCAUCUCAAAAGCCUGUGACCCCAGCGCCGUUAAAUGAAUUUUCACUCAACGACAUACUCUUUA